GGCAAUAUGGCCGAGUGGUCUAAGGCGCCAGAAUCAGGAGAGUCAGACUCAGGUUUGCUCAAUCUGGUCCGAAAGGGCGAGGGUUCGAAUCCCUCUGUUGUCA
This is a non-coding RNA of Psilocybe cubensis, 103 nucleotides long. The record is from the annotation of a RefSeq genome assembly. Lineage: Eukaryota; Fungi; Basidiomycota; Agaricomycetes; Agaricales; Agrocybaceae.